GUGGCUGUACCAAUUUACAUCCCUACCACAUAUUCUAAAAUUGUAAUGAUGCAGAGAAGAUUAGCAUUGUCCCUGCACA
This is a small nuclear RNA of Ursus americanus (American black bear), 79 nucleotides long. The record is from Ensembl. Lineage: Eukaryota; Metazoa; Chordata; Mammalia; Carnivora; Ursidae.